This 237-nucleotide long non-coding RNA is filed under the name Elaeis guineensis (African oil palm). RNAcentral describes it as "long non-coding RNA (EGUI_LNC062541)". Lineage: Eukaryota; Viridiplantae; Streptophyta; Magnoliopsida; Arecales; Arecaceae. The record is from RNAcentral.
GUUCGAGUGCAUUGAGUCAAUUUCUAACUUCAUUGUAUCUAACCAUUUCUCGAAAUUGAUGUUAUACAUCACCUUGUCAAAAGUACUAAGAUCAUCACCAUGACCCCCAUCUCCCAUAAGGAAUAUUUUUUUCGAUAUCCUCUUUCAGUAUACCCAUGUAUCUUUAAAAAGGAUGGAAAAUUCUACCUGAUCUAUGAGGUGGAGGUGGAACAUUAACUACUGACUCAUCAUAGAUGG